This 280-nucleotide ribosomal RNA is filed under the name uncultured bacterium. RNAcentral describes it as "partial 16S ribosomal RNA". It matches the Rfam family "Bacterial small subunit ribosomal RNA", at positions 355 to 628 of the family's 1533-position model. The record is from RNAcentral.
UGGGGAAUAUUGCACAAUGGGCGCAAGCCUGAUGCAGCCAUGCCGCGUGUGUGAAGAAGGCCUUCGGGUUGUAAGGCACUUUCAGCGAGGAGGAAGGCAUUAAGGUUAAUAACCUUAGUGAUUGACGUUACUCGCAGAAGAAGCACCGGCUAACUCCGUGCCAGCAGCCGCGGUAAUACGGAGGGUGCAAGCGUUAAUCGGAAUUACUGGGCGUAAAGCGCACGCAGGCGGUUUGUUAAGUCAGAUGUGAAUCCCCGAGCUUAACUUGGGAGCUGCAUUU